UGUAUAAUGACCUUAAUCUUUUCCUUCCUUCCUGAAUCAUGGAACAUCUAUUUAAAAAGAUAAAGGUCUCUCAUAUCUCUGUUUCUAUUUUUUUUUUUUAGAAGAAAUGCUUUGUCAACGAUCUUCAAAAAAGAGGAAGAGGUAUGCAGCCAACAAGAAGGUGAAAGCAGCCAUGAAAACAAUCGUGUUUCAUUGACAAAUGGAUAGCAUAGUACUACUGGUUCAUUUCUAAUAAGAUGGAGAUAUCCUGAAUACUUAGCUCAGCGGGAUGUUUAGGAAUGAAUGUGAAUUCUUCCACAAGGAUGAGAGCAAACAGAUAACUUUAUUUUCAUGCACAACUGUGAUUAAAAUGCUUUGCUGCCAGCACACCAAGAAGCUCUAUUUCCACCCAUGCCCUUCAGAAGCAGGCCUUGUCUGUGUGUCCUCCCGCACGUGCUGUUACCUUCAGACCCACUGAAUUCCUCUGGCUGCUGUUAUGUCCUCUGGCAUAAGAAGCCUUUAGGUUCAGCUGAAGAACCUAGAAGACUGAUGCUACUGAAGUAAUGUAAUCUUCAUACAUAUGGCACAGCCCAAAAUAUCUGUUGUCUUUCUCGUGAUAAGAUCAAAGAAAAGGCCCAACUUACCUAGAAGAAAUUCUGGCAAGCUUUCUGGAUACUCACCUGAUUCCUUCAAUAAUAAUAGAACAGUUUUAAGGUUGAGGAAUGACACAUAAAGAGCUUGUCCUAUGGUCUUUGGCACUCUGUGGCUCUUUUAGUACUCUGUUUUCCAAAACGUACUCAUGCCUUGUAACUCACACAAGUUUCCUAGGGUUGCAUUAGUGCAUUUAAGAUGGCAGAUGGGUCAUCCUAGACUGGUUCAUAAAAGCAAAAUAAACUCAAUAUUCUUCCACA
RNAcentral lists this long non-coding RNA (890 nucleotides) under Anas platyrhynchos platyrhynchos (common mallard). RNAcentral describes it as "lncRNA (ENSAPLG00000020053.1)". The record is from RNAcentral. Lineage: Eukaryota; Metazoa; Chordata; Aves; Anseriformes; Anatidae.